UACGAAGGGGGCUAGCGUUGUUCGGAAUUACUGGGCGUAAAGCGCGCGCAGGUGGUCUUUCAAGUCAGUGGUGAAAGCCCGGAGCUCAACUCCGGAACUGCCAUUGAAACUGUGAGACUUGAGGACGAGAGAGGUGAGUGGAAUUCCCAGUGUAGAGGUGAAAUUCGUAGAUAUUGGGAAGAACACCGGUGGCGAAGGCGGCUAUCUGGACGACAACUGACGCUGAGGCGCGAAAGCGUGGGGAUCAAACAGG
This 253-nucleotide ribosomal RNA is filed under the name uncultured bacterium. RNAcentral describes it as "partial 16S ribosomal RNA". It matches the Rfam family "Bacterial small subunit ribosomal RNA", at positions 524 to 776 of the family's 1533-position model. The record is from RNAcentral.